Molecule: ribosomal RNA, 1449 nt
Filed under: uncultured organism
Description: SSU rRNA
Rfam family: Bacterial small subunit ribosomal RNA
Source: RNAcentral
UGAACGCUAGCUACAGGCUUAACACAUGCAAGUCGAGGGGCAGCAUUUCAGUUUGCUUGCAAACUGGAGAUGGCGACCGGCGCACGGGUGAGUAACACGUAUCCAACCUGCCGAUAACUCGGGGAUAGCCUUUCGAAAGAAAGAUUAAUACCCGAUGGUAUAAUCAGACCGCAUGGUCUUGUUAUUAAAGAAUUUCGGUUAUCGAUGGGGAUGCGUUCCAUUAGGCAGUUGGUGAGGUAACGGCUCACCAAACCUUCGAUGGAUAGGGGUUCUGAGAGGAAGGUCCCCCACAUUGGAACUGAGACACGGUCCAAACUCCUACGGGAGGCAGCAGUGAGGAAUAUUGGUCAAUGGGCGCAGGCCUGAACCAGCCAAGUAGCGUGAAGGAUGACUGCCCUAUGGGUUGUAAACUUCUUUUAUAUGGGAAUAAAGUUUUCCACGUGUGGAAUUUUGUAUGUACCAUAUGAAUAAGGAUCGGCUAACUCCGUGCCGGCAGCCGCGGUAAUACGGAGGAUCCGAGCGUUAUCCGGAUUUAUUGGGUUUAAAGGGAGCGUAGGUGGACAGUUAAGUCAGUUGUGAAAGUUUGCGGCUCAACCGUAAAAUUGCAGUUGAUACUGGCUGUCUUGAGUACAGUAGAGGUGGGCGGAAUUCGUGGUGUAGCGGUGAAAUGCUUAGAUAUCACGAAGAACUCCGAUUGCGAAGGCAGCUCACUGGACUGCAACUGACACUGAUGCUCGAAAGUGUGGGUAUCAAACAGGAUUAGAUACCCUGGUAGUCCACACAGUAAACGAUGAAUACUCGCUGUUUGCGAUAUACAGUAAGCGGCCAAGCGAAAGCAUUAAGUAUUCCACCUGGGGAGUACGCCGGCAACGGUGAAACUCAAAGGAAUUGACGGGGGCCCGCACAAGCGGAGGAACAUGUGGUUUAAUUCGAUGAUACGCGAGGAACCUUACCCGGGCUUAAAUUGCAUUUGAAUAUAUUGGAAACAGUAUAGCCGUAAGGCAAAUGUGAAGGUGCUGCAUGGUUGUCGUCAGCUCGUGCCGUGAGGUGUCGGCUUAAGUGCCAUAACGAGCGCAACCCUUAUCUUUAGUUACUAACAGGUCAUGCUGAGGACUCUAGAGAGACUGCCGUCGUAAGAUGUGAGGAAGGUGGGGAUGACGUCAAAUCAGCACGGCCCUUACGUCCGGGGCUACACACGUGUUACAAUGGGGGGUACAGAAGGCAGCUACCUGGUGACAGGAUGCUAAUCCCAAAAGCCUCUCUCAGUUCGGAUCGAAGUCUGCAACCCGACUUCGUGAAGCUGGAUUCGCUAGUAAUCGCGCAUCAGCCAUGGCGCGGUGAAUACGUUCCCGGGCCUUGUACACACCGCCCGUCAAGCCAUGAAAGCCGGGGGUACCUGAAGUACGUAACCGCAAGGAGCGUCCUAGGGUAAAACUGGUAAUUGGGGCU